Molecule: ribosomal RNA, 447 nt
Filed under: uncultured bacterium
Lineage: Bacteria
Description: bacterial SSU rRNA
Rfam family: Bacterial small subunit ribosomal RNA
Source: RNAcentral
UCGGGAAUUUUGGGCAAUGGGGGAAACCCUGACCCAGCAACGCCGCGUGAAGGAUGAAGUAUUUCGGUAUGUAAACUUCGAAAGAAUGGGAAGAAUAAAUGACGGUACUAUUUAUAAGGUCCGGCUAACUACGUGCCAGCAGCCGCGGUAAUACGUAGGGACCAAGCGUUGUUCGGAUUUACUGGGCGUAAAGGGCGCGUAGGCGGCAUGACAAGUCACUUGUGAAAUCUCUGGGCUUAACCCAGAACGGCCAAGUGAUACUGUCGCGCUAGAGUGCAGAAGGGGCAAUCGGAAUUCUUGGUGUAGCGGUGAAAUGCGUAGAUAUCAAGAGGAACACCUGAGGUGAAGACGGGUUGCUGGGCUGACACUGACGCUGAGGCGCGAAAGCCAGGGGAGCAAACGGGAUUAGAUACCCCCGUAGUCCCUGAGCGGGCUGGCAAGGCGCAU